This 882-nucleotide small RNA is filed under the name Pongo abelii (Sumatran orangutan). Its description in RNAcentral is "retained intron". Lineage: Eukaryota; Metazoa; Chordata; Mammalia; Primates; Hominidae. The record is from RNAcentral.
AUCACUGGACGAAGAAAGAUACCGUGAAUCCCUUUUUUCUGGUGCUCUGGGGGUUUACUUGGCCAAAUGGGUUUUGGGCCACCGGGUGUCCUGUAUUUGGGCUAGAUGUAAGAAGUAUGGAUGGCACUGCUCCUCCCCACGGUGAACUCACAGCCACAUGGCAUAAUGGAGAAUGGGACACACAUCACACCCCAUGACAGCAGGGUAGCUCAGAGCAAGAAUGACCUCCAGAACAGGGUAGCCAUGCAGUGAUGGCCUCUUCAGACAUUUGGGCAAGGUUCCGCCUUUCGAGAAAAACACAGGUCCUUUCUGAAUUCGGCCUGGCUAUACUUUCUGAAUGCCAGUUCCUGUGUGCUGCCACUCUGAGCUUGAUCCUGGGAUCUCCUGAUUGGAUGCUGCAUAAUGUCUCUUGCAGAAUGAAGAGGAAGUCUUAGUGGAGUGUCGCGUGCGAUUCCUGUCCUUCAUGGGUGUUGGGAAGGAUGUCCACACAUUUGCCUUCAUCAUGGAUACAGGGAACCAGCGCUUUGAGUGCCACGUUUUCUGGUGCGAGCCUAAUGCUGGUAACGUGUCUGAGGCGGUGCAGGCCGCCUGCAUGUUACGAUAUCAGAAGUGCUUGGUAGCCAGGCCGCCUUCUCAGAAAGUUCGACCACCUCCACCGCCAGCAGACUCAGUGACCAGAAGAGUCACAACCAAUGUAAAACGAGGGGUCUUAUCCCUCAUUGACACUUUGAAACAGAAACGCCCUGUCACCGAAACGCCAUAGCUGCACAUGCGAAAGGACUCGGCUAUUUACCUGAAGAUUGACUAGCUACACUAAAGAAAAUGAACUCCGCCAUCUGACCUUCCAUCCAGUUGCUGAUGCUUUGUCUUCAGAGAAUUUAC